RNAcentral lists this ribosomal RNA (503 nucleotides) under uncultured Acidobacteriaceae bacterium. Its description in RNAcentral is "bacterial SSU rRNA". It matches the Rfam family "Bacterial small subunit ribosomal RNA", at positions 8 to 490 of the family's 1533-position model. Lineage: Bacteria; Pseudomonadati; Acidobacteriota; Terriglobia; Terriglobales; Acidobacteriaceae. The record is from RNAcentral.
AGAGUUUGAUCAUGGCUCAGAAUCAACGCUGGCGGCGUGCCUAACACAUGCAAGUCGAACGCGAAAGCCCCGCAAGGGGUGAGUAGAGUGGCAAACGGGUGAGUAACACGUGGGUGACCUGCCUUCGAGUGGGGGAUAACGUCCCGAAAGGGACGCUAAUACCGCAUAACAUCCUGCCUUUGAAGAGGUGGAGAUCAAAGCUGGGGAUCGCAAGACCUAGCGCUGGAAGAGGGGCCCGCGCCUGAUUAGCUAGUUGGUGGGGUAAUGGCUCACCAAGGCAACGAUCAGUAUCCGGCCUGAGAGGGCGGACGGACACACUGGGACUGAGACACGGCCCAGACUCCUACGGGAGGCAGCAGUGGGGAAUUGUUCGCAAUGGGCGCAAGCCUGACGACGCAACGCCGCGUGGAGGAUGAAGACCUUCGGGUCGUAAACUCCUUUCGAUCGAGACGAACGGCCUCCGGGUGAACAAUCCGGAGGAGUGACGGUACCGAGAGAAGAGC